Molecule: transfer RNA, 73 nt
Filed under: Schistosoma mansoni
Lineage: Eukaryota; Metazoa; Platyhelminthes; Trematoda; Strigeidida; Schistosomatidae
Source: RNAcentral
GGACACAUUAGCUGAGUGGAUAAAGCGAUGUCGUUUGAAUCAAAAGGUACUGGGUUCGAGUCUCAGAGUGAAC